GCGAUCUUAGCCCAGUGGUUAGGGUAUCGCCUUCCCAACCUGUUCGCAGGGAAGAGGCGGGGGUCGGGAGUUCGAACCUCCCAGGUCGCA
Paraphoma chrysanthemicola is the source of this 90-nucleotide non-coding RNA. The record is from the annotation of a GenBank genome assembly. NCBI's taxonomy places the organism in Eukaryota, Fungi, Ascomycota, Dothideomycetes, Pleosporales, Phaeosphaeriaceae.